GAUGAACGCUGGCGGCGUGCCUAAUACAUGCAAGUCGAGCGAACAGACGAGGAGCUUGCUCCUCUGACGUUAGCGGCGGACGGGUGCGUAACACGUGGAUAACCUACCUAUAAGACUGGGAUAACUUCGGGAAACCGGAGCUAAUACCGGAUAACAUGUUGAACCGCAUGGUUCAACAGUGAAAGACGGUCUUGCUGUCACUUAUAGAUGGAUCCGCGCCGCAUUAGCUAGUUGGUAAGGUAACGGCUUACCAAGGCAACGAUGCGUAGCCGACCUGAGAGGGUGAUCGGCCACACUGGAACUGAGACACGGUCCAGACUCCUACGGGAGGCAGCAGUAGGGAAUCUUCCGCAAUGGGCGAAAGCCUGACGGAGCAACGCCGCGUGAGUGAAGAAGGUCUUCGGAUCGUAAAACUCUGUUAUUAGGGAAGAACAAAUGUGUAAGUAACUAUGCACGUCUUGACGGUACCUAAUCAGAAAGCCACGGCUAACUACGUG
This 497-nucleotide ribosomal RNA is filed under the name uncultured bacterium. Its description in RNAcentral is "partial 16S ribosomal RNA". It matches the Rfam family "Bacterial small subunit ribosomal RNA", at positions 28 to 507 of the family's 1533-position model. The record is from RNAcentral.